CCUACGGGUGGCAGCAGUGAGGAAUAUUGCGCAAUGGGCGAAAGCCUGACGCAGCGACGCCGCGUGAGGGAUGAAGGUCUUCGGAUCGUAAACCUCUGUCAGCAGGGAAGAACGGUCACUGUGCUAAUCAGCAGUGAAUUGACGGUACCUGCAAAGGAAGCACCGGCUAACUCCGUGCCAGCAGCCGCGGUAAUACGGCGGGUGCGAGCGUUAAUCGGAAUUACUGGGCGGAACGCGCUCGUAGGUGGUAGGUCAAGUCGAGGGGGAAAUCCCCGCCCUCAAGGAGUGAAAUGCCUUUGAAACUGGCAACCUGGAAUGUGUGUGAGGAUAGUGGAAUUCCAGGUGUAGGAGUGAAAUCCGUAGAUAUC
RNAcentral lists this ribosomal RNA (368 nucleotides) under uncultured bacterium. RNAcentral's name for it is "partial 16S ribosomal RNA". It matches the Rfam family "Bacterial small subunit ribosomal RNA", at positions 338 to 698 of the family's 1533-position model. The record is from RNAcentral.